GCAUCCCGCCGCCGGCACAGGGACCCUCCCUUGCUGCGCGCUGCUUCGGCAAGGACUGCCCCUCUGCCUUCCCACUCCCCAUCGCUGCUGAGACGGCCGCCCUUCUCUUGCCUCUCCACCUCCGUCGGCGGAGGCGCAGACUUCCUCUCCACCAGAUCCUCGGUCGUGGACUCGACAUGAGAGCUGGAGGGCUCCCCUACGCCUACCUCCUCCCGCGGGACAAGACGCAGAAUCGGAGCGAGCGCCGAGGAGCACCGGCUAGGACGCCUUGCUCCGAUGGGUUGGGCGUGUCGCGAGCCUCACCGUGGCCAAGUACCACAUGCUCCAGAGUGGAUGGUCGACGCCCUCCCCACCUGGCCACCUCACCCGUGACUGGUUUAGCUCUGACAGAAUCAAGUCAAUCAACUAUGGGACAGGUACAGUAUGCAGUUGGGUUCUAGGGUUUAGCUACAGUGCAGGUACAUCUUCCUUGCUUAGUCUAAUUGUGAUUGUCAAAUGUUCCUUGAUUGCUAGAUUUUUGUGAAAUCUUCUUGUGCAUAUGUGAAAGGAAGCAAGCUUGGAUUCACUGGAUGAUGUAUACACACCAAGUGCACCUCGCUUUCAUAAUAGCAAGCAACCUCAUAUUGAGGUACGUUCUCUUCGCUUGCAGCCUUUUUAAGAGUUUGGUUUUUCCAGUUAGUCUCUUCUGAUGGUGAUGCUUGAUAAGUGGUGUUUAUCAGCGUGUUGUCUCAGAAAAUCGCUUUCUCCGGUGGUUGAUAAUUUUAGCUCUAUAUGCUUGUGUUGCAAACAGCAGAAGCAACUGGACAACCAUUUGUUUCAUAAACUCAAACCAUUGAACUUAAAAACAUCACCUUCCGCAGCUGGUGUGUAUCGCAGUUGAGUGAAAGCAGAUUGCCCAGUGGGCUUCUCCGUAGUGUGAAAAUCUGUCAGAAAGAAUUGAUCAUAGAUAUGAUUAUACUUGUGACUGCUACAUCAUAAAGAACAGAAAAAAUGGACAAACCAGGUGAUAUGGCCACGGGUGUCUUAGAUGGAGUGCGCUUUCAAUUUAGAAAGGAGAUGUAGCUUUGUUAUUAUCCCUUGCCUCGUGUCUUCUUUUUAAUAUCUCAUCCCUGUUUAGUGCAUACCUCUCCUUUCCCUUUGUUUCUUUAAUUCUUUUGGAUCUGCUUUUUGACCUGUCUCCAAGAAAAUCUUCAGGCUCUAUAAGGUCCAAGUAGGUAAGAGUUGGUGAUAUAUUUAUUUACCCUGGGUAAAUAGCAAAUCAAGUAAAUAAGAAAGUCUUGUACAUCUCAUUUUGGAAAUUUCAGAAAUGAUCAAGAGGUGAAGUCCACUUUGAUUUUUACCUUGUGCAGACUUAGGUUUGUUGUAGGUCCUUGUAGUCAUGGUUUUCUUUAAAAAAAAUCAUACAUCAUCGAACCAUGCUGAACUCACGUGUACAGAGUAUGCUGUCAUCAUCUUACAUAGCAUCUUCUAUAAAUCGUACACAAAAUUUCGGAAUCUGAACUACACAACUUUGAAACAAACUGAAAAGUUAUCAGCAUCUGCACUAAACAUUGGUAAGUUAGCUUUAGGAGAAACAUACUCAAAGAAUAUCUGAGUUGGCCGUUAUUCAUCUUGACAGUAAGGCACGAUAGUCAUUAAAUUCGUAUUACGAUUCUUCAUGCCAACACUACGACCUACAACAGUAAAUCAUAUAUAUAACUAUGUCCGAAACUUGACAUCAUACAAUGUGGAAGAAGGAAUUAAAUUGCCAAACAUAUAUACAUACCUUACUCUUUAACUGCGUUUACUCGAUUGCUGAGUCUGAUGAAUUGCUACAUAAAUAGCCCAAAUGAUUGCCUGGCCAUAUGUAAUGUUGGUAAACAUACAAUGUAAGUACCAGAAUUCGAUCAGAAUAAAACUUCGGCAAACCAACAUUUAGUUAUUUAAAUAAAAGUUCACCUUAUUGAGUACAGAAGUGGCACUUGGAUUAAGCAUUUGAAAAACAUUAAUGCAUGGUACCCAAUACCAAUUGGCAGGCCAACAUAUAAGAACAAAUUUUGCUUAAUUGUAUUUCAGAUAUAUAGAGAAGCAUGUACUGAUUUUUAUUUGCACAAAAUGAUUAGUCGUAGAUUGUCAUAGAGAUUUUGUAGUCAUUUCAUUCAAAUGGCUUAAAACUAACAUAAAAAUGUGGCAAUCCAUUGGCACAAAUAGACUUCAUACAGUACUCUCAAGUCUACAAUACAAUACCAAUUGGCAAGCCAACAUUCAGAGAAGCAUCUACUGAACUUAGGUUGUAGAAAUUCAGAGAAGCAUGUUCUGGAUUUAGCAAGUAGAAAUUCAGAGAAGCAUGAGUGGAGGAGCCGAUUCUACCGUUUCGUGUAUGUUGUCUACCUUUUCCUAUUAUCAGUUGGGAUGUCACUUUUUCUGUCUUCCAUGCUCAGGGUCUUUUGAUAUAGAACUUGUUGACUAUCUCACUUCCAUGCUACAAAAGAUAGGCAUCUCCUAAAUUAUGUUUGCUAAUUCUUUCAUUUAGCCAAGUUGGAUGUCAGUCCUCCCAAUUAUGUGCUUAUAUAAUAACAGAACAUAUUAGAGAAUAGAGAUAUUUUCAGUGACAUGCAUUCUGUUUCAUGCAAAGCACAUAAACUCUAUAUUAUAGGCCAUUGCAUUUUGUUUACUCGGUAUAUUAAGAAAUAGGAGUACAAUUGUAGUCAUGUUUUUUUAUGUUACUCUUUGUAUUUAUGAAUUUUGACCCAAAUCUGCCACGAGGUGAACUUUGACUGAUGUCCGUCAUUUUGGUCAAUAUUUAUUUUGUUGUCUCAAUCGCAGAUUCUUCUAAUUACGGUACUCCUAAUAAUUGAAUAUGUGGGGAGAGUCAGUGUUCCAUGAAACCAGAUUGCUUUCCUUGCUACAGAGUAUGAGCCACCUAGUUUGCUGGCUUGGUGGCGAGGGCGUCAACAUGGCGACGGCGGCAGCCCGCGCUCGCAUCCGUUGGUCAGCAGAGGAGA
Long non-coding RNA from Triticum aestivum (bread wheat), 2984 nucleotides. RefSeq lists it as uncharacterized. NCBI's taxonomy places the organism in Eukaryota, Viridiplantae, Streptophyta, Magnoliopsida, Poales, Poaceae. The record is from RefSeq and is a predicted model, not a curated record. The transcript is spliced from 3 exons.